This 799-nucleotide ribosomal RNA is filed under the name Klebsiella pneumoniae. Its description in RNAcentral is "bacterial SSU rRNA". It matches the Rfam family "Bacterial small subunit ribosomal RNA", at positions 744 to 1533 of the family's 1533-position model. Lineage: Bacteria; Pseudomonadati; Pseudomonadota; Gammaproteobacteria; Enterobacterales; Enterobacteriaceae. The record is from RNAcentral.
CGCUCAGGUGCGAAAGCGUGGGGAGCAAACAGGAUUAGAUACCCUGGUAGUCCACGCCGUAAACGAUGUCGAUUUGGAGGUUGUGCCCUUGAGGCGUGGCUUCCGGAGCUAACGCGUUAAAUCGACCGCCUGGGGAGUACGGCCGCAAGGUUAAAACUCAAAUGAAUUGACGGGGGCCCGCACAAGCGGUGGAGCAUGUGGUUUAAUUCGAUGCAACGCGAAGAACCUUACCUGGUCUUGACAUCCACAGAACUUAGCAGAGAUGCUUUGGUGCCUUCGGGAACUGUGAGACAGGUGCUGCAUGGCUGUCGUCAGCUCGUGUUGUGAAAUGUUGGGUUAAGUCCCGCAACGAGCGCAACCCUUAUCCUUUGUUGCCAGCGGUCCGGCCGGGAACUCAAAGGAGACUGCCAGUGAUAAACUGGAGGAAGGUGGGGAUGACGUCAAGUCAUCAUGGCCCUUACGACCAGGGCUACACACGUGCUACAAUGGCAUAUACAAAGAGAAGCGACCUCGCGAGAGCAAGCGGACCUCAUAAAGUAUGUCGUAGUCCGGAUUGGAGUCUGCAACUCGACUCCAUGAAGUCGGAAUCGCUAGUAAUCGUAGAUCAGAAUGCUACGGUGAAUACGUUCCCGGGCCUUGUACACACCGCCCGUCACACCAUGGGAGUGGGUUGCAAAAGAAGUAGGUAGCUUAACCUUCGGGAGGGCGCUUACCACUUUGUGAUUCAUGACUGGGGUGAAGUCGUAACAAGGUAACCGUAGGGGAACCUGCGGUUGGAUCACCUCCUUACCUUAAAGAA